This 515-nucleotide ribosomal RNA is filed under the name uncultured bacterium. Its description in RNAcentral is "partial 16S ribosomal RNA". It matches the Rfam family "Bacterial small subunit ribosomal RNA", at positions 28 to 523 of the family's 1533-position model. The record is from RNAcentral.
GAUGAACGCUGGCGGCGUGCCUAAUACAUGCAAGUCGAGCGAAUGGAUUAAGAGCUUGCUCUUAUGAAGUUAGCGGCGGACGGGUGAGUAACACGUGGGUAACCUGCCCAUAAGACUGGGAUAACUCCGGGAAACCGGGGCUAAUACCGGAUAAUAUUUUGAACUGCAUGGUUCAAAAUUGAAAGGCGGCUUCGGCUGUCACUUAUGGAUGGACCCGCGUCGCAUUAGCUAGUUGGUGAGGUAACGGCUCACCAAGGCAACGAUGCGUAGCCGACCUGGGUGGGUGAUCGGCCACCCUGGGACUGAGACACGGCCCGGACUCCUACGGGAGGAAGCAGUAGGGAAUCUUCCGCGAUGGACGAAAGUCUGACGGAGCAACGCCGCGUGAGUGAUGAAGGCUUUCGGGUCGUAAAACUCUGUUGUUAGGGAAGAACAAGUGCUAGUUGAAUAAGCUGGCACCUUGACGGUACCUAACCAGAAAGCCACGGCUAACUACGUGCCAGCCGCCGCCGUAA